Ovis aries (sheep) is the source of this 72-nucleotide transfer RNA. It matches the Rfam family "tRNA". From Rfam's summary of the family: Transfer RNA (tRNA) molecules are approximately 80 nucleotides in length. Their secondary structure includes four short double-helical elements and three loops (D, anti-codon, and T loops). Lineage: Eukaryota; Metazoa; Chordata; Mammalia; Artiodactyla; Bovidae. The record is from Rfam.
UCCCUGUUGUCUCAGACGGUAAAGAAUCUGCCUGCAAUGCAGGAAACCUGGGUUUGAUCCCUGGGUUGGGAA